This is a small nucleolar RNA of Salvia miltiorrhiza (redroot sage), 139 nucleotides long. RefSeq annotates it as small nucleolar RNA Z247. The transcript has a single exon. The record is from RefSeq and is a predicted model, not a curated record. NCBI's taxonomy places the organism in Eukaryota, Viridiplantae, Streptophyta, Magnoliopsida, Lamiales, Lamiaceae.
CAAGUGAAUGAAGAUGACCAGAUUAUGCACACUCUUUCUGGUUUGGGUUCUGAAUAUGAUUCAGUAAUGGUGACUAUUACUUCCAAACCUGAAGUUUGGAGCCUAGGUGAUGUGAGCUCCUUGCUCUUGAGCUUUGAGC